This 430-nucleotide ribosomal RNA is filed under the name Bacteroidota bacterium. RNAcentral describes it as "Bacteroidetes bacterium partial 16S ribosomal RNA". It matches the Rfam family "Bacterial small subunit ribosomal RNA", at positions 355 to 776 of the family's 1533-position model. Lineage: Bacteria; Pseudomonadati; Bacteroidota. The record is from RNAcentral.
UAGGGAAUCUUCGGCAAUGGGGGGAACCCUGACCGAGCAACGCCGCGUGAGUGAAGAAGGUUUUCGGAUCGUAAAGCUCUGUUGUUAAGGAAGAACGAGUGUGAGAAUGGAAAGUUCAUACUGUGACGGUACUUAACCAGAAAGGGACGGCUAACUACGUGCCAGCAGCCGCGGUAAUACGUAGGUCCCGAGCGUUGUCCGGAUUUAUUUGGCGUAAAGCGAGCGCAGGCGGUCAAUUAAGUCUGAUGUGAAAGCCCCCGGCUCAACCGGGGAGGGUCAUUGGAAACUGGUUGACUUAGGUGCAGAAGAGGAGAGUGGAAUUCCAUGUGUGGCGGUGAAAUGCGUAGAUAUAUGGAGGAACACCAGUGGCGAAGGCGACUCUCUGGUCUGUAACUGACGCUGAGGCUCGAAAGCGUGGGUAGCAAACAGG